Molecule: transfer RNA, 65 nt
Filed under: Dipodomys ordii (Ord's kangaroo rat)
Lineage: Eukaryota; Metazoa; Chordata; Mammalia; Rodentia; Heteromyidae
Rfam family: tRNA
About the family: Transfer RNA (tRNA) molecules are approximately 80 nucleotides in length. Their secondary structure includes four short double-helical elements and three loops (D, anti-codon, and T loops). Further hydrogen bonds mediate the characteristic L-shaped molecular structure. tRNAs have two regions of fundamental functional importance: the anti-codon, which is responsible for specific mRNA codon recognition, and the 3' end, to which the tRNAs corresponding amino acid is attached (by aminoacyl-tRNA synthetases). tRNAs cope with the degeneracy of the genetic code in two manners: having more than one tRNA (with a specific anti-codon) for a particular amino acid; and 'wobble' base-pairing, i.e. permitting non-standard base-pairing at the 3rd anti-codon position.
Source: Rfam by way of RNAcentral
GGUGGCUCAGUGGUAGAGCGCUUGCCUCUCCUGCAGGAAAUCCUGGGUUCAAUUCCUCAGCACCA